This 918-nucleotide ribosomal RNA is filed under the name Triticum aestivum (bread wheat). RNAcentral's name for it is "partial small subunit ribosomal RNA". Lineage: Eukaryota; Viridiplantae; Streptophyta; Magnoliopsida; Poales; Poaceae. The record is from RNAcentral.
AUGGCCCUUCUCGCCAUAGGCCUCCAUGCCGUCUUUGCCUCCGCGGCAACCUUCGUCAUGUGGCUGUAUCGCUCUUUCGUCCGGCCGGGAAGGAAUCUGCGGCGCUAUGGCGCGUGGGCGGUGGUCACCGGCGCCACGGACGGCAUCGGUCGGGCCAUGGUCCUCGAGCUUGCGCGCCAGGGCCUACACCUGGUCUUGAUCGGGCGGAAUCCCGUGAAGCUCUCCCGUGUCGGCGACGAGGUCCAGAAGGCCGCGCCAUCCUGCAAUGUUAGGAGCGUGGUGUUCGACCUCGCCGAGGACGCGCUGGUGUCUCGCGGUGUGGCGAGGGUGGCCGCGGCCGUGGAGGGGCUGGACGUGGGGAUCCUGGUGAACAACGCCGGCGCGACGUACCCUGGCGCGGCCUACUUCCAGGAGGUGGAGACUCGGGUCUGGGAGGCGGUGGUGCGGGUGAACAUAGAGGCGGCUACGCGGAUCGCUGGCGUCGUCGUGCCCGCUAUGGCGAUGAAACGGAGGGGCGCCGUAGUCAACGUGGGGUCCGGGUCGUCGGUCGUGCUGCCGGCGUUCCCGCUAUACGCUGUGUACGCAGCAAGCAAGGCGUAUAUUGAUCAAUUUUCUCGAAGUCUAAGCAUUGAAUACAAACAAUAUGAAGUGGAUUUGCAAUGCCAGAUUCCCUUGUACGUAGCCACCAAGAUGUCCCGAGUUGGCGACUCGUUGUUCGUACCAUCGCCGGAGGAGUAUGCCAAAGCCGCUGUUCGGUGCAUAGGUUAUGAGGCAAGAUGUGUCCCCUACUGGCGCCACUCGAUCCAGUGUUUUUUCUCGUCUCUGCUCCCAGAUUUGGCUCUCAAUGCUUGGCGUCUUCGAGUUGGCAUCCGGAAGAGACGGGAGAUGAAAGCUCUAUUGAGGGAGGAUGACACCUGA